RNAcentral lists this unclassified non-coding RNA (2328 nucleotides) under Hevea brasiliensis (rubber tree). The record is from RNAcentral. Lineage: Eukaryota; Viridiplantae; Streptophyta; Magnoliopsida; Malpighiales; Euphorbiaceae.
AGAGAUAGGGGAUUGUACAUAACUAGUCAUGGAUGAGUAUUCUGAUAAAAAAGAUGGUGAUGGGCUGGUUGUCUCUAGAAGGGGAUCUACCCUUGUUUUGAGAGAUACUGCUAAUAAUAAAGACCGAAAUGCUCAAUUUUGCAACCGAAUUGGGUGUAGUGGGAGACUAAACUCUGCAAAAGGUACUCAAAUCAGUUAUUCGGAGAAAGCUAAAUCGUCAAGGCAAUCAUUCCGGUCUCCCUCAAAUGGCAAGGAAAUAAUUGGAAGUUCUUCUAGGACCUGCUCUGCAACCAGCAAUCCUAGGAAAUCUUUUUCAGGGCCUCGGAAAAAGCCAUCUUCUCAGCCAGAAAAGGAUCCAUCUGAAACUGGUAGUUCGCAGGAUGAUCCUGAACUGCCGGACCUUGUAACUCUCAGAAAGGUCCAAAAAGGUCUUGGCUCCGAAUCUGAUGAUGCUGGGCCUAGUGAGAACAACUCAAUGGAAGUUGGUAGCACUAGUAUACCAAGCACAAGAUCUCGUAGGAGUUUUCAGCAGAAAUCAGGAGUAGGUAAACCAGAUACCAUAAUAGGCUCACCCAUUUUGUUGACAUCUAAAAGCACAAGCCAAGGGAUGCAUGCUAGUGCGAACAGGUAUGGUUUAAGAAACCUUAGAUGCAGUUCAUUAUCAGAUGUUGUCCCUACAGGAUCCUCAACAUCAAAACCAAAUUUCCUUAGACGAAAAGAUGGGGUCAAGAAGAGAAUUUGUGAUAGAGAAAGUACUUCCUCUGCCAGAGGGAAGAAAAUAAGUGGUUCAUCAUUGGAAGGGCAGAAUUCUAGUUCCAGCUCUGGUGUCUCGAUUUCCAAUUCAAGAACCAGAAAUGGGACUCCCAGCCAGGACAGUGGUCCUGUGUCAGUUAGGACUCGAAGAUCACUCAGUUACACUAGGACAAGGGUUGCUAAUCACGGAAGUGGGAAUAAUUUAUCACCAAAUGGGCCCCAUGUAAUCCCACAAAUUUCUCAGCCUAUUUUACGAAAUGAUUCAAAUUCACCUACCUCUUCACAUCAAUUCUCUAUGGAAUCCUCCCUAAGUCACUCACGUUCUUAUGGUCUAUCUGGUAGUAGCCAAGAGAGUUUUCGGGGCAUUAGGCUAUCUACUCCUGCAGAAGUUGGUGACAUCCGUUCUUCCAUGAGUCAGGAGAGCUUCUGGCGCCACAAUAUGGAUGGAAUUGCUGAGGUGUUAUUGGCACUUGAAAGGAUUGAACAAGAUGAAGAGCUGACAUAUGAGCAAUUGCUUGUUAUGGAGACUACUUUGUUCCUUAAUGGGCUGAAUUUCUAUGAUCAGCAUAGAGACAUGAGAUUGGAUAUUGAUAAUAUGUCAUAUGAGGAAUUAUUAGCUCUGGAAGAAAGGAUGGGCUCUGUGAGCACAGCACUAACAGAGGAAGCAUUGUCAGAAUGCCUUAAGACUAGCAUCUAUCAGUCGGCAUAUCUGGAGGAUGCUACUAUGGACCUUUGUGGUGAAAAGGCUGAUGUCAAAUGCAGUAUCUGCCAGGUUAUUUAUUUAUUUUUUUUAUAUAGAAAUUGUUUUAUUUAUUAGGUUUUGCCGAAGUCUAUUUACAGUUAAAACUCAAAAGCAUUAAAAUGUUGAAUUUAUGUAUAUGCAGAAGCAAUCUAGCCAAAGCAAAUAAAAUCAUGUAGAUGUAGAAGCAAAAUCUCUAGCUGAACCAAAGCCAAUCUGGUUCUAACCAAAAUUUGCACAGAUUAACUUGAACUAGUUUAACGUCCGAUUAAGUUUGGGUUCAAUGUAGACAGAUAUUUGUAAAUGGCUUUUGCGAAAAGCCGAAGGAAAGAGUUGGUUUUAUUCAUAAGAUUUCAUUCUGCAACUUACCCAGAUUGCAUUUGAGUUGUGAACGUCACUGAACUAACCCAUUUUGUACCUUAUUUUUCUCAUUGCAGGAAGAUUAUGCUGUUGGAGAUGAAGUGGGGAGAUUGCAAUGCGAGCAUAGGUAUCAUGUGGCCUGCAUACAUCAAUGGUUGAGGCUGAAGAACUGGUGCCCCAUUUGCAAGGCAUCGGCGGCACCCUCAUCAUCACCAUUACCAUCACCAUCAUCAGUCGAUGAAUAAAUUGGAUGUUUGAGUAUUUUUCAUUUUGUACAAAUCGAGUCUGUCUUCUGCAUCCAUUUUUUAUUUUUCAUAUAUUUUUUUAAGAAAAUUGGAGAUCAUUUUCUUUAAUGUACAUACCAAUUCUCUUUCAUGUCAAUAGAGUAAUAAACUCGGCAACAUUGCCAUUACAAUGAUAACUUGUUUUCAUCUAUAAAACAGAAGCUGUGAAUGAAAUUGCUCACAAAGUUGCUG